AGAUGUCGAUUGCAAGAAGUGCACGUUUAAAGUCAUUUACUACGAUUGAGAUAUGAGUAUGAAAAAUAGGGUUAACGCAGUUCCUUUUGGUAUAUAUAAAGGGUUUAGACAAGAUCCAUCGUGGUUCAAAAGGGGCCGCUCCACCAGAAAUUGUAGCUGCGGGAAGAAGGGGAGCCCUGCUGCCUGCAUUGCUUGUAGGUACAACUUUUUUUUUGAAAUAUUGGUUUCCAACAUUUUGUUGAAGAUACUGAGCAUACACGAAACACUUCAGCGGGUGGACAUUGAAGAAUGUGAUCCCCAGAAGAGAUGGGCGGGCGAGGAAGUUGCUUAAUAUGGUAUUUGGUAGGUAUAAUUGUUUCUCUUUGAUCGCCGGUGGCGUUAGGAUAUCCGGUUGGGUAAUUUUGUAUUUUGCAACUUUGAAGAAUUUAAAAUGUGCCAUGAUUGAUGUCGAAAUGAUGAAAAUGAUAUUUUUGUUCUUUUUUUGGUGGAACAUGAGAAUUAUCUACUUAUUAUGUCAA
Molecule: long non-coding RNA, 518 nt
Organism: Gossypium arboreum
Lineage: Eukaryota; Viridiplantae; Streptophyta; Magnoliopsida; Malvales; Malvaceae
Exons: 2
Source: RefSeq, a predicted model, not a curated record